Molecule: long non-coding RNA, 2127 nt
Organism: Equus caballus (horse)
Lineage: Eukaryota; Metazoa; Chordata; Mammalia; Perissodactyla; Equidae
Source: Ensembl
AGAGGAAUGUGGUCCUUGGAAAAGCGAGGCUUAAAUGUUAAGUAAAUAUAGUAAAGGAAGGGAACUUCACUAAGGAAAGAAAAGCUGGUAACAGAGCGAAUUCAACCUCUUCUCCCCACUGAUAAAAACUGGCAUAGAUGUAUCUUUUUCUCUGAUCUUUUUUCUCUUUGAUCUUUUCUCCCUUUUCUUUCCUUCCCUUCUCCUCCUAGAUGGAGAGGAGCGGUGGAAUGAACAUCAGGCUGAAGAAGACUGGGCUGAGCUAGGAAGACUCAAUUAAAAUGGGAAGCUGAGGAUUACAGGCAUCAUGACAUCCCAGCCUGGCCACUGGCACCCCAGGCUGGCUGCACAGGGAUUUUCAGCAGCACAGCAUCUGUUUUCAGGGUCCUGGGCAGUAUCGCUAAGUCACGGAAGUUCGUCUUAGAAGCUCUCACUCUUUCCGGUAUUCUAAAAUCCUUUGCCUUAAACAUCUGCCCUUUCCUAAAGUCCCCUCCUUCCAAAAUGAUUCCUACCGUCUUCUACUUCCCAAGGAAAAACGUAUUCACUGAGACCUAAUUACUGCCAAGACAUAAGAACCUUGAUUUGACAGUUGGUGAAGCACGAUGUGCAAAUACGGACCCAUAAACAGAUAUUGAUUCAGCUGAACUAAUUCAAGCAAGAGAAAACUCUUCAAUAUCCUACAAAUAUGGCUAAUGCAAUAGAGCUCUCCGAAAAAUAAGCUUCACAGAACUCAACAUCUGGCCUCCCAUUUUAUUCCUCAAAUAUAAAACCCGCUGCAAAAGUGAAAUUAGAGCAUACACAAAAGUCUAAUUUCUCUAGGUGUGAUUUAAGUUUGUUUUGUUUUAAAGAAAGGUCAUCUUGUUUCUUCUGUUUCACUGGCCUUGAGAAGCAGCAGACUAUCCCAGCGCACAAGAAAUUAAUUACCCUGGAGGACCAGGUGCAACCAGUUAGCCAGUUGCCAUGGAGACAAAAUCGCUACAUCCCGGAUUUUCCAGGAUGGUCUCUAUUUCAUGAAAUCUUAUUCUUUUCAAUAAAGGCCAUUCAUAAGAAUGCAAAUAUAAGUGUGAUUUGCUUACUUUCAUGUGUGCAUUAAUGCACAAACAGAAGAAAAUACUUUGCCAAAUAAUGAACCCUCAUCUUUGUCAAGAAAAUUUGAUAGGUAUGAUUUGAGUGAAUUAGUUAAAAAAAAAAAAAGCAAAGUAAAUAAAUCCAAAGCACUUUAAAAUACUGUUGGAAAAACGAAAACCAGCUUUCCUGGAGUCCUCGGCACUUGAAGAAUGGUGCUGCUAUGGCUAGUAUGAGUCCAAGGUCAGCCCAACGUGAGAGAUACAACAGCUCUCAUCUGAGAAUUUGUAGCAAAUUCCGUUCAAAUUAGUUUGCUUUCAGUUCUUCCGAAGGAAACUCAACACAGAGCUACGUCACUACCUAACUUUAGGGUAUUAUCAAUCAACCAAAAUGGUAGUAUGUUUUCCUUUAAAAAAGACGUUGGCAUUCAUUAUUUGAACAGUUUUCGAGUUAUUCCAUAUAACUGGAGUUUUGUUCAUUGUAAGGUGCCAAAGUUGGUCUCUUGGUGUUGACAAAGUUACCCUGGUAAUUAAUGUAAAAUGUUAACACUGAGGGAAACUAUGCGUGUGGGGAGGAGGAGAUGUGGGAACUCUGCAUUGGCUUUGCAAUUUUUCUGUAAUUCUAAAAUUAUUCCAAAAUAAAGAGUUCACUAACAAGUAAUUUGUGGUCAUUAAUUGGAAGAGAUUAAUUAAUUAAUUGUAGUGGAUACUGAUAUGUGCUGUAUUGAUUGUAUUGGGUAGGCAAUGGAAAUAAUUUGGGGAAAUUUUGGAAAUCUCUCUUUACUUUGGAAUUUCAUACUGAAUUUUAAGCAUUUUCCAAUUCAUAAUCCAAACCUACAAUUUUUGGACUGUUUUUACCAUCGAUUGCAUCCUCUACAACUUUAGAAAUGUCACAAAUUCAUUUUGAACAAAUCAUCGUGGAGAUUUAAGUGGCAGCAUUAGCCAUCUUUGGAGUACUAAAUUUCUUAACUCAAAUAUCUGAUACACUAAUCUUGUACAUAAUUUACUAGAGGCAAAAUAUUUCCAUAUUGUUCUUUUGUUAAGCCAAUGCCUUUUGAUAUUUGAG